This 385-nucleotide ribosomal RNA is filed under the name uncultured bacterium. RNAcentral describes it as "bacterial SSU rRNA". It matches the Rfam family "Bacterial small subunit ribosomal RNA", at positions 126 to 506 of the family's 1533-position model. The record is from RNAcentral.
CUGCCUGGGAGGGGGGGACAACAGAACGAAGGGUACGCUCAUACCGCAUACAUCCUACGGGAUAAAGCAGGGAACCUUCUGGCCUUGCGCUAUCAUAAGAAUCUAUCCCGUUUUAUAUAGGUGGUGGGGUAAUGUUUCACCGGGGCGACUAUCCAUAACUGGUGUGAGAGAAUGAUCCCUCACUGUGGAACUGACACACGGCCCACACUCCUACGGGAGGCAGCAGUGGAAAAUUUUGCACAGUGGGCGAAACCCUGAUCCCCCCGUGCCGCGUGUGAGAACAAGGCCUUCGGAUUGUAAAGGACUUUAAGUUGGAAGAAAGGGCAGUACGUGAAUACCUUGGUGUUUUGAGGUUACCGACAGAAUAACUACCUCCUAGCUCUGU